UACGAAGGGGGCUAGCGUUACUCGGAUUUACUGGGCGUAAAGGGCGCGUAGGCGGUCAGCACAAGUCAGUUGUGAAAUCUCCGGGCUUAACUCGGAAAGGUCAACUGAUACUGUGCGACUAGAGUGCAGAAGGGGCAACUGGAAUUCUCGGUGUAGCGGUGAAAUGCGUAGAGAUGUGGAGGAACACCAGUGGCGAAGGCGACUCUUUGGCCUGUAACUGACGCUGAGGCGCGAAAGCGUGGGGAGCAAACAGG
Molecule: ribosomal RNA, 254 nt
Filed under: uncultured bacterium
Lineage: Bacteria
Description: partial 16S ribosomal RNA
Rfam family: Bacterial small subunit ribosomal RNA
Source: RNAcentral